RNAcentral lists this ribosomal RNA (761 nucleotides) under Prevotella melaninogenica. RNAcentral describes it as "bacterial SSU rRNA". It matches the Rfam family "Bacterial small subunit ribosomal RNA", at positions 28 to 776 of the family's 1533-position model. Lineage: Bacteria; Pseudomonadati; Bacteroidota; Bacteroidia; Bacteroidales; Prevotellaceae. The record is from RNAcentral.
GAUGAACGCUAGCUACAGCCUUAACACAUGCAAGUCGAGGGGAAACGACAUUGAGUGCUUGCACUCUUUGGACGUCGACCGGCGCACGGGUGAGUAACGCGUAUCCAACCUUCCCAUUACUGUGGGAUAACCUGCCGAAAGGCAGACUAAUACCGCAUAGUCUUCGAUGACGGCAUCAGAUUUGAAGUAAAGAUUUAUCGGUAAUGGAUGGGGAUGCGUCUGAUUAGCUUGUUGGCGGGGUAACGGCCCACCAAGGCAACGAUCAGUAGGGGUUCUGAGAGGAAGGUCCCCCACAUUGGAACUGAGACACGGUCCAAACUCCUACGGGAGGCAGCAGUGAGGAAUAUUGGUCAAUGGACGGAAGUCUGAACCAGCCAAGUAGCGUGCAGGAUGACGGCCCUAUGGGUUGUAAACUGCUUUUGUAUGGGGAUAAAGUUAGGGACGUGUCCCUAUUUGCAGGUACCAUACGAAUAAGGACCGGCUAAUUCCGUGCCAGCAGCCGCGGUAAUACGGAAGGUCCAGGCGUUAUCCGGAUUUAUUGGGUUUAAAGGGAGCGUAGGCUGGAGAUUAAGUGUGUUGUGAAAUGUAGACGCUCAACGUCUGAAUUGCAGCGCAUACUGGUUUCCUUGAGUACGCACAACGUUGGCGGAAUUCGUCGUGUAGCGGUGAAAUGCUUAGAUAUGACGAAGAACUCCGAUUGCGAAGGCAGCUGACGGGAGCGCAACUGACGCUUAAGCUCGAAGGUGCGGGUAUCAAACAGG